GUCCCCAGGCUUGUCUCUGCUUGAAAUAGACACGCCAAGGCAGGGAGGAGCUCCCUGAAUCCGGUUACAGGCCAGUCUUCCUUCCCUUUCCGACCCAUCAGCAACUAGAGUGAGGAGACUACCAGGAGAGGCAAGAUCAUCCAGAGCUUCGGACAUUGAAUUCCUGGCCCACACACACUACUGCAUAACAAGAGGAGAUAGAGAGACCCCACCUGCACUCACUGGAAAAAGAUAUGGGAAGAAGACAGAAUAAGAACUCAAUCAACAACAGAAAGACCAAUAUGACACCACCAGAAUCUAGGGACUCCACUCCAGCAAGAUCUGAAAAGCCCAACACAGUGCACAAAGAAGAGAUGGGCCUCAAAAAUUAUCUCAGCAAGAUGAUAGAGACCUUCAAAGAGGAAACAAGAAAAUCCCUUAAAGAAAUAGAAGAAAAAGCAAGCAAAAACUUACACGAAAUGGAGGAAAAGACAAACUAAAAAAUUCAAGACAUAAACAAAUCUCUUAAAGAACCUAAAGAAACCCAAGAUAACACAACUAAACAAGUGAAGGAAGCUCUUGAAACAGUUCAAAGCAUGAAAGCUGAAAUAGACACAAUAAAGAAAACACAGAAUGAGGCGAUGCUGGAAAUGGAAAGACUGGAUAAACGAUCAGGAACUAAAGACGUGAGUAUAACUAAUAGAAUCCAAGAGACAGAAGAGAGAAUCUCAGCUAU
Molecule: long non-coding RNA, 715 nt
Filed under: Cricetulus griseus (Chinese hamster)
Lineage: Eukaryota; Metazoa; Chordata; Mammalia; Rodentia; Cricetidae
Description: lncRNA (ENSCGRG00015031859.1)
Source: RNAcentral